This 492-nucleotide ribosomal RNA is filed under the name uncultured bacterium. Its description in RNAcentral is "partial 16S ribosomal RNA". It matches the Rfam family "Bacterial small subunit ribosomal RNA", at positions 29 to 507 of the family's 1533-position model. The record is from RNAcentral.
AGUGAACGCUGGCGGUAGGCCUAACACAUGCAAGUCGAACGGCAGCACAGUAAGAGCUUGCUCUUACGGGUGGCGAGUGGCGGACGGGUGAGGAAUACAUCGGAAUCUACUUUUUCGUGGGGGAUAACGUAGGGAAACUUACGCUAAUACCGCAUACGACCUACGGGUGAAAGCAGGGGAUCUUCGGACCUUGCGCGAUUGAAUGAGCCGAUGUCGGAUUAGCUAGUUGGCGGGGUAAAGGCCCACCAAGGCGACGAUCCGUAGCUGGUCUGAGAGGAUGAUCAGCCACACUGGAACUGAGACACGGUCCAGACUCCUACGGGAGGCAGCAGUGGGGAAUAUUGGACAAUGGGCGCAAGCCUGAUCCAGCCAUACCGCGUGGGUGAAGAAGGCCUUCAGGUUGUAAAGCCCUUUUGUUGGGAAAGAAAAGCAGCAGGUUAAUACCCCGCUGUUCUGGCGGUACCCAAAGAAUAAGCACCGGCUAACUUCGUG